UGUUGUAUUUUUGUUUUUAAUCUGAUAUACAAUAAAAUAGAAAGUUUAUUUAUUCAAGUAACAUGACUCAUAAUAUUAGUAAAAAAACUUAAUUUUAUGUUAGUAAAAAAUAUAAUAAUAUACCUAACUACCUUAUACUUUAUUUGUGCCUACUCGAAAGACUCUGAAACUACUGAACCGAUGUAAAAAUCACCAAUGAAAUGAGCUACAGUAUUCCCGAGUGACAGGCUACAUGUAAUGUAGGGCUGCCGCCAUCUUGAAUUUCGCCAAACCUGAAUAAACAUAAAAAAUCCCGGACAUUUGGCGUAAUCGCAUUUUUUCCCCGGACGGACGAGACCGAUUUUUUUUUUAAAACAAAACAAUACCUCAUUUUUCACCCAUUUACUUUACCAUAUAGGUACUUAAAUUCAAUCAAGCGCUUUCUUACAUGAAAAGUGUCUGGGUUUUCCCCGGACUCUUCUUUAAACCCCGCCCGGACGACCUCCAAACGAGGACAAAUCCGGGGAAACCCGAACGGAUGGCAGCCCUAUACAUCUACAUGUAAGACAUUAUGCGACACAAGUCAAACCGUGAGAAACAGCUAGUGUUAUAAUAUUUGUUACCCCAGUGUCCUGUGUGAACUACGAAAUAGUUUUAUGAAUGAACAUAAAGAAUGUAAAUUAACACACAGUGUUCUAUUCGUAUAGAUUAUAUUUUGACAAUCGUAAAGCCUCAGCAUACCUAUUUGACCAACUCUGCGAGAUGCAAAAUUAUUUAUAUGCAACACGCGACGACUCUAUAGUUGCAUUAUGCAUGUUGCAUACCUAAAUGUAAUAACUACAACUAAGUAGGUACAUAUUGCAGGUAUCUAGAUUAGUUUUCCGCAUUAUACACAUACCGAAUGAAUGAUUAAUGUCUGCAUUGCAAAUUAUAAUAAACACAUAUUCUCAUGUCAAAAGGCGACCAAACCGAUCGUAAUUUUGGGGAACCGAAUUUCUAAAUGAUCUGCUAAAACAACUAGGGAUCUGUCACGCUCGAUUAUCGCUGAAACACGUCCACUGCUGGACUGCUGCCUCCCCCAAGGUUCACCACUUAGGUCGAUCUUCAGCAACCCACAUCCCCCGCUUCCGACCACCACGACCUUGGCCAGAUCGUCCGUCCAUCUAGUGGGGGGGCUACGCUGAGUCUUCCGGGCGCAUUCCGUUUUCCCGUUUGGGCAUUGUGUUCUAAAAAUCCCAAAUAUUACAAAAGGCCGAUGACUAACUUGGAAUUAUUUGGCUUUGUCUUAAGAAUUAUUCAUAAGUAUGGAAAUACCGGCCAACGAGUAGGUACCUAGGUAUUUUCCUCUAUAGUUAAAAACUAGUUUUCUUUGCGUCUACAAUGUGUAAUUCAGUCAUUUAUAACGAUUCAUUUGUAAAGUAUACUCGUGUGAUAUUUAAAUUUAAAAUAUGACUACAUUAAAGUUAUUAUCUGUUCUCCUAGUAUUAUAUCUCAUUGUGAAUGUUAAUGCCGACCUCCUUAUGCCCGGCUCACACUUGCAAUGCAUUUACUACAGAUCUAAGUUGGAAGAAGUCAACACAAAGCUGGCCAGCUCUUCAGGCACCCAAGAAGAUAAAAACCAAGAAGCAAUGCUAUUACAACAACUAAAACAGUAUUGUUAGCUUUAAACGAAUAUAGAAAGACUAAAAUGUAUGUUUUAUACUUCGCUUUAAGAUGUUAUUUUUAAGAAAAAUACAUGGUAUUUGGUGA
This is a long non-coding RNA of Helicoverpa armigera (cotton bollworm), 1728 nucleotides long. RefSeq lists it as uncharacterized. The record is from RefSeq and is a predicted model, not a curated record. The transcript is spliced from 2 exons. NCBI's taxonomy places the organism in Eukaryota, Metazoa, Arthropoda, Insecta, Lepidoptera, Noctuidae.